This 1179-nucleotide unclassified non-coding RNA is filed under the name Drosophila yakuba. Its description in RNAcentral is "GE27892". The record is from RNAcentral. Lineage: Eukaryota; Metazoa; Arthropoda; Insecta; Diptera; Drosophilidae.
CAUGCAAUCCACAGUGGACGGACAUAAAUGAUAAUUUAUUUGUUGGUCAAAAACCAAAUAAACUGCGCGUGUUGAUUCAAAAAGUUACACCAAAUGAGAUUGAUCGCAUUAUAUCAGCCGAAAUUCCAGAUCCACAAUUAUCCCAAGUUGUUACGAAAAACAUGAUUCACGGCCCAUGCGGUGAACUAAAUUCGCCAUGCAUGAUCGAUGGAAAAUGCUCAAAGCGGUAUCCAAGAGCAUUGAUUUCCGAAACAAUAACAGGCAAUGACGGAAACCCAUCGUAUCGACGUCGGUCACCAGACGAUUUUGGAUAUACAACAACAAUUACAGUUCAUAAUAAAGACACUAUCAUACCAAAAUAUUUGAAGCUCACAUUAACGUUGAAUAUUGUAAUGCAGUGAAGUCAAUCAAAUAUAUAUGCAAAUAUGUCAGCAAGGGAAGCGACAUGGCUGUUUUUGGAGGGACAACAACUGGUGACAAUUGAUAUGAUGAAAUUUCACAAUAUCAAAUGGGACGUUACAUUAGCACUAAUGAAGCUCAUUGGAGAAUUUAUUCAUUUCCAAUGCAUGAGCGAUAUCCUGCUAUGGUUCAUUUGGCUGUUCAUUUGGAAAAUGGACAACGUGUUUAUUUUACUAAUUCAAAUGUGGAGCAGAGAGCGGUACAGCCACCAGCAACAACAUUAAAUGCAUUGUUCCAAUUGUGUGAAAGUAAUUAAUUUGCAGGAACAUUGCUGUUCAUUUGGACUGCAAAAAAAUGGCAACGACAUAAAAGAGAAGUUCCAGUUGAUGGUCAUCCAGGCGUUUUAUAUAAAGAUACUAUGGGAAGGGGAGAUCCAUAUUCUGCAUUCAACUUCCAAGAGGUGUCGGACGACAAACCUUUUUGGUUGCGGUUGAGAUGCAGCACGAUGUCCUUUGCUCUGAUAAUGUGAGCAAACGUUGCAUUUCGUGGUAUGAUGGCCGCUCCUAAAGGACAACAAAAUUAAUUAGUAUUUGUGAUGGCUGAAGAAUUUUUUGACUAUAUAUCAUUAAUCCAGUUGAUGAUUACAAUAGUCGACGAAUACAGAGGACUUCAUUUUGCUUAAUUUGUAGACUCACACAUAUUUUGCUCAUUGUUUUUUUUUUUUUUGUAUUUAUUAAGCACAUUCGCCACCCUACAACCGGUAAACUUCCUUCUGAAUAA